ACCUACACCAGAAAGAUACGGUCAACACAAUGGUCAAAGAAUCAUGUGAAACAAAAAGUGAGAAUCAGAGAAGGUUUUGGGUUUUGUCUGCGGCGGCUCUGCCAGAUUUUAAACACAAUUUCUGAUUCACCCGCCGUCCCUUUUGCCUUGAUAUGACCAUAGGGAGACUCUAAAUUGAAUUUUGAGUGGGAAGAAGAAAAUUUUACAUUUUUUGGCAGUCGAUGGUGACUCUGAUGCGACGGUGGCUGGUGGUCAGCCUCCUUCUCCAGCGUUUUGUUAUUCUUAUCCGGCGAGGGUUGGUGUGGCUAGAGUUAGGAUUUUUUGAAAUA
RNAcentral lists this long non-coding RNA (329 nucleotides) under Carica papaya (papaya). Its description in RNAcentral is "long non-coding RNA (CPAP_LNC001970)". The record is from RNAcentral. Lineage: Eukaryota; Viridiplantae; Streptophyta; Magnoliopsida; Brassicales; Caricaceae.